CGCAAAGUUGUUCGCCACUCGUCGGUUAUCGUUUAGCGUCCAACGAACGAAUGGAAAAAUCGACGAAGCUUCUUGCCCAGACGCCACUGCUUGAGGAACCAGCGCAGCUUGAGGCUGAUCAACAGCAGGCUCUGCUUCAGCUGUUGGGACUCCUGCACCAUCAAGUUUUUCUCUUGGCUCCAAAACUUCUGUUGUAAUCGCGUCUGCAGGCUCAGGCUCUGCAGCUGGAAGUCUCGCCGCAAUAAGGCCUUCUGGUGCUCCUCCUGCAGCUGGGGGUGAAGAGAGAGAGAAGGUUCGUGGGAGUGAUCCAGUCAGGAAAGCAGAAGAUGAUAGUGAACGAAGGAGUGAAGACCAAUUUAUCACAGGCUGUUGGGGCCGAAGGUCGCAGCUGUACAAACAUACUAAGAGCGCACCUGUGCGAGUUUUUGGGAGUGGUUCUGGGUGUCCUCCCUGCGUGCCUGUCUCUCCUGGGACAGCUGCUCCUGGACUCCCCGAGCUGUCUCCCUGGCCUCAGACAGCAGGGCUUGCAGCUUGUCAACCUGCUCCUGCUGCUGCACACAAGGAGCGUGAGGGUGUCAGGCAUAAAACAAAUACCCCUUUUAAACCCGUUUCGUCUGGACUGCCCCAGUUGUUAUUCUUCGCCUUUACUGGGCUUUGGAGAUGUAUCAGACUGAGAGUUUGCCCUCAUGCUGAGCUUAAAUCCCAGCUUAAAUUCAGGUGCAGCACAACCAGGGAGUGCCUGCAAGACCUUAACUGGAAAAAGUCACAUUCAUGUGUGUGCUCAGUGAUGUACAC
Scleropages formosus (Asian bonytongue) is the source of this 795-nucleotide long non-coding RNA. RefSeq lists it as uncharacterized. The transcript has 3 exons. NCBI's taxonomy places the organism in Eukaryota, Metazoa, Chordata, Actinopteri, Osteoglossiformes, Osteoglossidae. The record is from RefSeq and is a predicted model, not a curated record.